This 509-nucleotide ribosomal RNA is filed under the name fungal sp. RNAcentral describes it as "eukaryotic LSU rRNA". The stretch from base 182 to 335 matches the Rfam family "5.8S ribosomal RNA". The record is from RNAcentral. Lineage: Eukaryota; Fungi.
GCGGAAGGAUCAUUACACAAAUAUAGAAGGCGGGCUGGAACCUCUCGGGGUUACAGCCUUGCUGAAUUAUUCACCCUUGUCUUUUGCGUACUUCUUGUUUCCUUGGUGGGUUCGCCCACCACUAGGACAAACAUAAACCUUUUGUAAUUGCAAUCAGCGUCAGUAACAAAUUAAUAAUUACAACUUUCAACAACGGAUCUCUUGGUUCUGGCAUCGAUGAAGAACGCAGCGAAAUGCGAUAAGUAGUGUGAAUUGCAGAAUUCAGUGAAUCAUCGAAUCUUUGAACGCACAUUGCGCCCUUUGGUAUUCCAAAGGGCAUGCCUGUUCGAGCGUCAUUUGUACCCUCAAGCUUUGCUUGGUGUUGGGCGUCUUGUCUCUAGCUUUGCUGGAGACUCGCCUUAAAGUAAUUGGCAGCCGGCCUACUGGUUUCGGAGCGCAGCACAAGUCGCACUCUCUAUCAGCAAAGGUCUAGCAUCCACUAAGCCUUUUUUUCAACUUUUGACCUCGGA